UACGAAGGGAGCUAGCGUUGUUCGGAAUUACUGGGCGUAAAGGGCGCGUAGGCGGCCUGAUAAGUAGGGGGUGAAAUCCUGCGGCUUAACCGCAGGGCUGCCUUCUAAACUGUCAGGCUAGAGCACAGUAGAGGCAGGUGGAAUUCCCGGUGUAGCGGUGGAAUGCGUAGAGAUCGGGAAGAACAUCAGUGGCGAAGGCGGCCUGCUGGGCUGUUGCUGACGCUGAGGCGCGACAGCGUGGGGAGCAAACAGG
RNAcentral lists this ribosomal RNA (253 nucleotides) under uncultured bacterium. RNAcentral's name for it is "partial 16S ribosomal RNA". It matches the Rfam family "Bacterial small subunit ribosomal RNA", at positions 524 to 776 of the family's 1533-position model. The record is from RNAcentral.